RNAcentral lists this ribosomal RNA (116 nucleotides) under Pteropus alecto (black flying fox). Lineage: Eukaryota; Metazoa; Chordata; Mammalia; Chiroptera; Pteropodidae. The record is from RNAcentral.
GUCUAUGGUCAUGCCACCCUGAACAAGCCUGAUGUCUGAUCUCAGAAGCUAAGCAGAGUCAGGCCUGGUUAAUACUUGGAUGGGAGACCACCUAGGAAGACCAGGUGCUUUAGGCA